UGGGUACUGCCGGAGACAUUACUGAUUUGCUUAAUUGCACCACAUGUGUUUUUUAUUGAACAAAUUUCUUUGGUGGCGGGAGCAAUCCUACCGCCAGAGGUUAUAACUAAACCAAACUUUUUAUUUACAGUCAAACUUGAUUUAUUAUUACAAUAGUCAAAACUUUCAACAACGGAUCUCUUGGUUCUCGCAUCGAUGAAGAACGCAGCGAAAUGCGAUACGUAAUAUGAAUUGCAGAUAUUCGUGAAUCAUCGAAUCUUUGAACGCACAUUGCGCCCUUUGGUAUUCCAAAGGGCAUGCCUGUUUGAGCGUCAUUUCUCCCUCAAACCCCCGGGUUUGGUGUUGAGCAAUACGCUAGGUUUGUUUGAAAGAAUUUAACGUGGAAACUUAUUUUAAGCGACUUAGGUUUAUCCAAAAACGCUUAUUUUGCUAGUGGCCACCACAAUUUAUUUCAUAACUUUGACCUCAAAUCAGGUAGGACUACCCGCUGAACUUAAGCAUAUCAAUAGGCCGGGAGGAAAAA
This 523-nucleotide ribosomal RNA is filed under the name Candida tropicalis. Its description in RNAcentral is "eukaryotic LSU rRNA". The stretch from base 161 to 314 matches the Rfam family "5.8S ribosomal RNA". The record is from RNAcentral. Lineage: Eukaryota; Fungi; Ascomycota; Pichiomycetes; Serinales; Debaryomycetaceae.